RNAcentral lists this long non-coding RNA (10609 nucleotides) under Triticum aestivum (bread wheat). Its description in RNAcentral is "long non-coding RNA (TAES_LNC014316)". Lineage: Eukaryota; Viridiplantae; Streptophyta; Magnoliopsida; Poales; Poaceae. The record is from RNAcentral.
AUUCCUGACCUUAAGUCGAUUGGUGUUCCUGAAUCGCGACAUAAGGGCAGACUGGAUGAAAAAGGCAUGCUAGAAGGGGACAAAUAAUAUGUAUGGACAGACAUUCUCUCACUGAAGCACACUACACAGUUUUACAGAAUUCCGCCUUGGUGGCUCCGUAUAUGGAUGAACACAAGAAUUUGCUACGCUCCAAACACCCGGAGCGGUCUGAUGACUGGAUUACGCGUGAACAAACCAGGAGUUUCGCCAGCUGGUUGCAGACACGUACCAUGCAUGAAGCCUCUAUUAAAGAUGACUUGUACUUGUUGUACCAGUUACCAUCUUCGAAUAUAAUGACUUUCAAAGGGUACGAGAUAAAUGGUAAUACAUUUUACACGAUCGCCCAAGAUAAGAAGAGCACCAACCAAAACAGUGGUGUCCGCUUUGAUGCAGAAACCAAGAUGGUAAAGGAAGCAUAUUAUGGUUAUAUACAGGAUAUAUGGGAACUUGACUAUCGACGUGGUUUGAAGGUCCCUUUGUUUCGGUGCAAAUGGGUCAAUAUGACACAAGGCGGGGUAACGGAAGACCCGCAAUACGGAAUGACAACAAUGGAUCUCAACAAUCUUGCGUAUGUAGACGAACCAUUCAUCCUAGCCAAUGAUGCACAGGGUUUCUAUGUGAAGGACAUGUCUACCAAGCCGAGAAAAUGAAAAGAUAAGGAAGCGAAUGCAUCGUACGAUGAGCCAAAGCGGCACAUAGUUUUUUCUGGGAAGAGAAACAUCGUGGGAGUGGAUGACAAGACAGACAUGUCAAGAGAUUAUGAAAAGUUUGAUGAAAUUGCUCCAUUCACAAUGAAUAUUGACCCGAGCAUCCCAUUAAAUGAUGAAAAAAUUUCAUGGUUACGGCGCAAAGGAACACACGCGAAUAAAAAAUUUCACACCCAAAGAUCUGGGAUGUGAUCAACUUCACUAUCAUCACUUUCUUCUGUAUUUCACACCCAGGAGGGAAUCUCUGUAAUAGUUAGGGUAGUUAUGUGUUUUGGCAUUUGAAACGCGAAGAAAUUUUAUGUGCAAACAAAUACUUUCAUGCCUUUACUUAUUUUUUCAGCUAAAAAGGCAUUUCAUUUUUUAAAUAACCUAAGCAUUACCAAAUCGAAUAUAAUGAUAAAACACACUAAUAUUAAACAUAAUAAAAAAGAAUCACUGAAAAAUGUAUUUUUAAAGUUAAGUCAUUCACAAACUAGUGAUUCACACAAAUUUCAAAUAAUUUAAAAUUUAAACUAUUCAAAUUUAAAAACUACCGGCACUAACUGAAAGUUUCUAAAAACUAUCAAAAAUAUUCACAAAGAAACUCCAAAUACAGCAAAAAACAACUAAAAAUAAAUAAAACAAAAUAAAUAAAGCAGAAAAGAAAAACCUAAUGAAAAAAAGCCCACCUACUGGGCCACAACGGCCUGCAUACGACUAGAAACCCAACCUGUUGUUGGGCCAGGAUGCAGGCCCGCAAGCCCAAUAGGCCCCACAGGGUAGAGUAGCAGAGGUAGGCCCUCAAGGCUUGCUUUAGAGAGGAGCUCGAGACAGCAGCGGCGGCGGGGCUUAUAAGCAAGUGCGAUCGCCCUUCGGCUAGCGAGAUGAGACUAAACUUCUGCGCCCCUCGCCUGGCAGCGCACCCCCUCUAGUAUCGGGUCGUGGCAUCAACCGGUACUAAAGGGGCGGUCUUUAGUACCGGUUGGAGCCACCACCCGGUACUAAAGGCCUGCUCUUCCCGCCGCUUGGCCUGAGCAAAACAGGCCUUUAGUAUCGGUUGGUAGCUCCAACCGGUACUAAAGGUGCCUUCUAUAUAUACAUCACUUCGAAAAGUUUCAUUCUCUCUCUGUUUCUUUCUUUGUUUCCCCAUUGAAGCAACGCCCGCCCCGAUCGAUCGACGCCGUCGCCGCCCCCGUCCCGCGCCAUCCCCGUCGCCGCCCCCAUCCCCGUCGCGCCGUCCCCGCGUCGCCGCCCCCAUCACGCCCCGGCCCAUCGCCGCCCUAGGUCGUUGCCUCGCUGUCGCCCCGCUGUGAGCUCUCCCCCUCUAACCCCUCUCCCUCGCCCCCGGCGGCCACCAUGGGCGCCGCCCCUCCCCGAGCCCAUAUACACACACACACAAGCAUGAUGAACACACACACACACACACAUAUUUCCUUAAGUUAAUUAGUAUAUACGUAUUUUGUAUGUUUAAUUAGUUUAGAUUUUUUAGAUUAUUAUUUUUUCACUAGUAUAUAUGUAUGAAUGCAUGUUAGAUGGAUAUAAUUAGUGUUUAAUUAGUAUGGAAUUUUUUAUAUAAUGUUGUUUUUCUGUUUUUUAAUGGAUGUAUAGAAGUUGUUUUUUCUGUUUUUAGUGUUAGAUGUUUAAUUAGUAUGAAAUAGCAUAUAGAAUUUUGACAUAUGCAAUGAUAGCAUAAUUAGUGUUACAUUUGCAUAUAGUAUUUGUUGUCGACGAUGUCCGGCCCGCCGUUGCUUUUACAAAUCCCCCCGAGGCAAUCUUUCAUUGCAACUCGAUUCCAGCGGGCUAUGCUCGUGUCUUGGUUGAUGAGGUGGUGGACCCAUAUUCGAGGCUACAGCUUGACAUUCUAGGAGGUGACAACGAGCACACAUUGGGAGAGGCCAUACAUCGUAUCAUCCUAUGGAGAAAUGAUUGCAUCGUUUUUCAAAGACCACCGACACCGUGUCACCCGACUCCUCGUCGAAGUCCGCCACCGAGUCAGCAGACUCCCGCUCCUCCAAGUCCACCAACGCGUGAGGCCACUCCUCCUCCUCCAAGUCCGGCAAAGUGUCAGGCCACUCCUCCUGUAAGUCCGACACAGCAUCAGACGUCCACUCCUCCUCCAAGUCCGGCACAACUUCAGGCCACUCCUCCUCCAAGUCCGGCACAGUUUCAGGCCACUCCUCCUCCUGCAACUCAGCCAUAUCAUCCAUCUUCGCCGCCUCAGCAAUCACGGAAGAGAGCCGCCUCAGCUAUGGUGCGUAGCAGUACAAGUCGAGGUAGUAUUGGAGGUACAGGUGGAGGCAAGCGAUCUCAAUAUGGUCCAAGCAGGCUCGCGCCUCUUCCGCAGAGGCCUUACGACAAGUCCGAGGAGGAAAAUGCAGCCAUAUCGAAGGCCGAGGUGGAAGCCCAUUUUGCACCGAAACCGCCACCGCCGCCAAGGGAGAAAGUGCCUGAGGAAAAGAUUGACCACUUCAUUCGUAUGGCUAGAGCACCAGCUCCCAAGUCUGUUGACACGGACUAUGAGCGCCACCUCAGGAAGUUAAAUCGAUCACGUCUACAGAAAGAGACGAGCUCGAGCUCGAGCAAAUCAGCUGGCAAAAGGAACGGUAAAACCGUUCCCUAGCUGGGAGAACAGGCGGCGCAAUCAACCCCCCCGCUUGUUGUGCCAACAACACAUGAGAGUACGCGCACCCAAUAUUAUUGUGGGCAAACCGUUAACGUUCCCGGACUGGGCAAUGUGGUAAUAACCGAGGAGCAUAUUGAGCAGGCUAAAAGGCUCAUGAUCACUAUUGGACAACUCCUCGAUAUCGAGCCCAUGUCUCUGAUUAGAGAGGAGGAAAUAAAACGGAAAUAUGUCCGGGGCCAACCUUUGAUCGAGCCAGACGAGGUCAAGAAGCUCCCAACGAGAAUGUAUGAAUUGCAUCAAUGGUACAUGGACAUUACCAAGAUUUCCAAUCAAGAGUUCCUCAUGGUGAAUGUCAAGAAGGAUCAUUACUACCAUGAGAAAGCUGUGUCCGUUGAGUAUUCAGAACUAUUUCAGUUAUACAAUCAAGACGCACUCGACAAAUCUAUCGUCAGUUGCUAUUGUCUGUAAGUGAUUUCUUUCUGUAAUUUAAGUCUCAAGCUAGUUGUAGUGAUCAUUUUGAUCAAUCAUUACCUGUAAUUAUUCUUACUAUAUUCUUUUCUGAGGUAUUAUGCAGGAUGAAGAUUUAUGAAAUGAAAAAAGGUGGACGCUAUGGCAUUGGGUUCGUUGACCCAAAUACCAUUAACGAAUACACAUGGAAAUUAGAUCCAUAUUAUGAAAAAAGUGUAGAGGAAAGCAUGCUAGAGUUCUUCAAGCGCCUCAAUACCAAUAAAGAUAUGCUACUUCCUUACAACUUCGAGUGAGUCACACUGUCUUGUACUACAAAUUCUGUUUUGCCUACUAGCUAGCUACAUGUUUUUGCUUACAUAUGCCCGCUUAAUUAAGACAUGCAAACAUGUGUGCAUGCAGAUUUCACUGGAUCUUGUUAAUCAUUAAAGUUGAUGAAGGAACAAUUGAAAUACUGGACUCACUACUUAAAAAAGCAAGUGACUACACCUUCUUGUUUGGGAUAGUCAACAGGUAAUUUCAAUCAUUAUUAACUAUAUCUCAGCCUAUUUAGUUCGUCAUUUCCUGAUAUGAAUCAUUUAACAACUCCUUUAUUCAUUUUCUUUGUCGGCGGACAGGGCUUGGACAAAGUUCAUCAGCGUCACUCCAGGCCAAUGACAAAAAAGCUGAAAUGGUAUCGACUCAAGGUAAGUAAUUAAAUAGUACUAGCUAGCUAGCUGUCAUCUCUUUAAUUAUCAUGCUUGAUUAAUUAUUAUCUGAUCAAAUUCCAUUCUCGUAAAGGCCCUGAAGCAGGCGUCAGGGAAUAAUCUGUGUACAUACUAUGUUUGCGAGAACAUUCACAUGAUGGCGUCCGAAAGGAGCAGAUCUCAAAGACAGGAGUGAGUACGUUUGUCAGAACACUAUUCACAAUUUUUACACCAUUAUCGAUAUCUAGUCACACAACUAAUACACAUGCAUAUUGAUCUCCUUCUUAACAGUUCAAAGAGGUGCAGGAGCAGCUCCUACCAGAGGACCGCAUAAAAGCAAUUCAAGAGGAAAUAGCGGGAUUUUUGCUCAACCAGGUCAUAGAUCCCAAAGAAUAAUACUAUUACCCGCUACCGCCUCAUGAACCACUUCCAAUUGUCAUCGUGCUCCGAAUGCACCAAUUAGGCUAAUGCCACUAGCUCCGAAGGCACCAAUUGGAAGAAAUUGUAUAUAGCUAUCUAAUUUUAUACAUAUAUACAUGUGUGUAUAUAUGUGUGAAUUAAUGGUGGUUGUGAGACAUUCGAUGAUAUAUAUAUAUAUAUAUAUAUAUAUAUAUAUAUAUAUAUAUAUAUAUGAUCGGUUCUACUAGAAAUUCUAUUUAUAUAUAUGCAUAACGUGUAUAAGAUGUAACAUCGUAAAAUACCAGCAAAUGAAAAAAAAUUAAAUGGAAAACACAAAAUUAAAUGAAAAAGAAAUCAUAAACCCAAAACCCCCAACUUUUUAAUACCGGUUGGUGUCACCAACUGGUACUAAAGGGCUCCCUGCCCCCGGAGCUGGCUCGUACCACGUGGUUGCCCUUUAGCACCGAUUCGUGCUGAACCGGUACUAAAGGGGGGGGGGGGCUUUAGUGCCCACACUUUAGUGCCGGUUACCAAAUCGGUGCUAUUGCCUGGUUCUGCACUAGUGACGCGGGUGCGGCUGGAGCGAGGGCGAAGCACGGCGCCGCGUCGGGCGCGACGGCGGACAUGCGGCGCGACAGGAGCGAGGGCGUGCAUGAGCAGGAGCGGCCGCGGCGACGCCUGCUACGUGUUCGAAGAAAUGACGAGGACGGACAGCUGAUGAAAUGGGGUGAAAAUGAGGUAGCAGCACUGCGUGCAGCGAGUUUGUCCAGCCUUUGUCCGGUGUUUGUUCUCCUAUUUCUACUCUAUACGAAUAAAAAUCCGAACAAAAUGGGUAUAGAUUUAGCAUCGUGCGGUGGAGUUGGCCUUAGAUCGACGACGACGAGCUGGCUUAAUCAGCCGAGCCCUUUGCGUGCGUGAGUGUAUCGCGUACGAUAGUAACACGCCACUUGGUGCAUCCAAAUUGGGCAGGUGAGUACUCUAUUAUCAGUUGCGCGGCUGUGGGUGGGCUUGUCAUUGUGCCGGACCUUGAAUGCCUCCAAAGAUUGAAAUGCCUAAAUCACAUGAUCAACAAUAAGUGAACAUGCAAACAUAUACACGGCCAAAGUGUCAUGGCCGUAGCAAGGAAAGGGCUAGGAAGAGGAGUGCAUACCAUGUACCCAACGCCGAGACCACUCACGGGCCAUGCUUCAAAGCUCUCUAAUGUGGCGCAAUACUUGUUGCACUCUUGUUGGAUGAACAACCAUCUCUUUUGAAUCGAGCCGAUGCCAUGGUUGCUUGUAAAUUGGUAGGGCUAAAACAUCUUCCUUUCAUGGAAUGUUUUGUGGACUCUCGUCCAAAAAACAAUGCCCUUUUGUUGCGCGUCGGUCCUCGGAUCUUGGCUAAUCUCCAUCCAAGCUUGGCAAAUCAACUUGUCCUCAUCUUGUGUGUAUGAACCCGUGCGAAUGCUCUUCCUCUUCUUUUGUGCUUCCGCUCUUUGGGUGAGCUCGUCGAUGAACAAUGGCUCGCCACUAAUAUCAACGUCGUUACCUUCUUCUUCAUCACCUUCGACAUAGAUGUCAUCGUCUCCAUGCCACGAGUCACCAUGGUCGUAGUCAGCACGGUAGUCGGCCUCUUCAUCGGGCACGUACUCGGCGCGGCCAUCCUGACUUUGGAUCUCCUCGGGGUCGUAGGCACGGCCAUGCCCACUCUUGAAGAUCACGUCCUUCAUGUACUGGUUGUAGAAGGGGUCGUUGACUGUUGGCGUUGGGGUUGGCAUUCCGUCAAACAAGACGCGGGGGGCCGGCAUGGUGCCCGUGAACGGUGCCCGUGCCUGCUUUCUUUGCAUCUCGACGGACGGCCGCCCGCCGCUGUUGGACCCAGGCUUGACGUUGAGGUCGAUGACGGUCAUGGGGCGCGGUGUGGACGGCGCGAACAAGCCCACGUCCGGCAACGCCGAGAAACGGGUCUGGCCGUCGUGCCUUGGCGGAGAAAAGCCGGGCGACAUGGGCGCGGCGCGCAACGUCGGCGACUCGCAGUGCGUAGGCCGGGCGACCGACGAGCCUAUGCUCGCCGGGCCGACGACCGUUGCAGGGAACCCGGCCGGACGGCCCAUGCCACCAAGCAUGAGGAUGGCGUGCGCUUUGUUGACGAGGUCCUCCUUCUCGUCGGCAGCGGCCUUGCGCCGCGCGGCCUCCAGCUCCCCGCGUUGGGCGGCGAACUUGGCCGCGGCAGCAUUGACCUUGACGGCCGCUCUCCGUUCCCUCCUCUUCGCCGAUUCCGCGUCUAACUUGGCGAUCUUCUCCGGCGUGCACUCCGACCGCGGCUUCCUUGGCGCCUUCUUCUUCACCUUUGUGGGCGGGUCGACGGCCAGGCCGCCGGAACUCGGCGGGGCGUCGGCCAUGGCCGGGGGAGAGAGGGGCGGCGGGAGGGACGUGGAAGGGUUUGGGGGAAAUGACGGCAAAUGGGCGUGGGUGGGUUUUGGUUUCUCCCACUGACAGGCGGGCCAGGGGAAGACAAGCGUGCGCGUCCCACCCGUCCGCGCGCUGUCUGUUUCACCCCAAAACCGGCGCAAACUUGGGCCGGGGAUGGGUCGAAAGCGGACACAAAGCGAACAAAAGUCCGUUUGCGCCCGCGCUGGGCCGUCUCGUUUGUCCGUUUUAUCCCAAACGAACGGGGGCGAACAGGAUAGGGUCGUGCGGUGGAGUUAGCCUUGCCUCCUACAUCAACGGCCGGCAACACAACAGGCUGCUAGGUACGUACUCGCUCUGUUUCAUAUUACUUGUCGUGGUUAGCUAGGUGGGCAGUGGUGUACGUUGAGCAUGUGGUGCCGCACAGCUAGCUGGACCGAUCCUGGCUGGAUACGUACGAGUAGACUAAUCAUGUAUGCAAUGCAACGGCACCUCUUGCCACUCGGCGUACAUAUACACACACGCGCGCUCGGCACAUGGCGUUACUGGCGAGCCUUCCUGGCUCCUGCACAUGCCUUGCCGGCCGCCUGCUCUGCAUCCACUGGACCAGAGCUAGCUUAUUGUCUAAUCCAUCAUGUCCAAAUGCAUGGCGCAUUCGUGGAUUCAUGCUUUGCCAUGACACUCUCACAAUUAACCGAUGAUUAACCCUCUGGCCUCUGCGCCGCAUCGAUGGAACAUGAUCUCCCAUCGACCAGCACUGUCACAGCGAUCGAUCAUGUGUUCGAAAUCCUCGGACGUACGCGGCGAUCAAGCAGGGUAUCCUUGCAUGUGCAUGCCUAGGGUCGUAAAGCCCGGCUAUCUUUUGCAUGGGUGCACGCGUACGAACAACCGAGCAUGCAUGCAUCCUCGACAAGGCCCUUUUUGCUGUACGUGGAUUCCACUACAGGUGAUUUCGGGGUGUAGUUCAUUAAGUAGCUAUGGAUGUCAUCUCCUAUCGAUCAGUUCCUUGAACAGCAGCGAUUAAUUAGUAGGACUGGCAAUGCUAUAGUGAUUAGUGAGCAGAUUAGCUUAUAAUGCUCACAACUUUGUGUUACGGACCAUCAUGCAUGUUCGUACCUACUACGUACGGUUGGGUUACGGCGGCACCAUAGACCCCGGAACUGGUCCUCCAUUACCCCUAUACCACUAUGAUUAAUCCGAGUAAGAUAUGCUUACUGCCUCUCUUGAUCGAUCUGUUCUCCAGCUAAGGAGCUUGGGUUUCUCACGUCAUGGCCCUUCUUGAAGGCGUCGGCUUGGGGUAGGGUUGGGGAUGGUGUGAUGCAAUGUGUGGGUUGGUGGCGGCCGCGGUGCAGUGCGUCCCCGGAUCGAUGCCCGACAUCGGUGGAAGCGGAGGGUUUGAGUCUUGUUACCCUUCAGCGGCGGUUGCAUGCACUGCUGUGCUCGUGCUUCCCGGUCGUUGAACGGCAUCCCUGUGCUAGAUGUAGGGGGAUAGUGGUCUCCCCUCCGGCAAUGGGGCGAUUGGAUUGUGGCAGAGCCAAUGGUUUCAUCCUACAAGGCUCGAUCCUCCUCUUUGUUGCUCGUUCGUGUUCCGCGAACUCCCUGUCCUGCUGUUCUGGUCAGCAUGGUGCUCUCCCACGGCAUGGUUGUUUUUCCCUCUUGUGUUGGCAUUUUCACUCUUUGGCCAGCUUCUGUAGCUCCGGCCAUAGAUGAUCGUUGUCUGCAAUUUUUCUGUUAUUUUCCGCACCUUGUAUCCUAGCCGGUUGUUGGCUUCAUUAAUUUGAAGUCGGCUAUAUGCCUUCCAUCUAAAAAGGAGUGCUUAAGAAUUCCACAGCGGAAAAUCAAACUGAGCUUCGGCUCUCCGCACGUGCCACCACAUGGAAUGGAAGCGCGACGGCGACGCCCAUCCAUGCCCAGGUUGAUGUGGACGGCCCCCGACAAGACGUGAGAUUUCAGCACUAGCUCCAGCAGUCCGGAUGAAUCUACGCAACAGCGUCCAUAACGAAGAAGAAACCAUGCGUGCAAGUGCGGCGCAGCUCGUAGGUACGUACUCAUCGUCUAAUCGUGCUGCCAUGCAUGAACCUACUGGACCUGGCUAAGCCGCUAGAGAGGGCCUGAACCCAGCCGGACUCCAAAAGGCCCAGCCCUACUCUCUAAGGCCUCAUUUGGUUGUUGGGGUGGAAAAAUCCAGGGAAAUAGGCCCCUAGGGGGAGAUCUUCGUGUGCAUAUGAAUCCCUCCCACCACGGGGGAAAUGGUCCCACUACCCCAUGUGCCCAAAUGGCAACAAGGGAGGGAAAGAAACCCCUCACGUAAAACAUACAGAUAUAACACAAUAGAUCAAAGAUAAUUAAAAAAAAGAUCAAAGAUAAAAACUGCACAAAUAAUUUUACAAUGAAACAGACACAUACAAAAACUUCAGAAUUCAUGUAAACUAUAAUUUUAUUAAAAAAAUACAACUGAUAUCCAUCACUUCACCAAGGUUCAAAUACCCAUCGGUCCACAUUUCAUUCCGAUUAAGCGGUGAGCUAAACCUUUUUCCGUGUUCCAACAUAAAAUCAAUCAAUAUAAUUGGCAUUGAUGCAUCAUUGUUUAAGUUUGUUCACUACAAAAAAUUCUGAAUUAUCAAAUUGUCAUGUCCGAGGCAUAGACACUUUCGAAUAGGAUGGGCUGCAAGGUGAAAAUCACUAGUCCUACUCAGGUCUUUUCUCCACUCCGCAUCUACAUCAGGUACCACAACUCGAUGUUCGUUGAACUACAAAAAAAGGAAGUUAGCACCAUGUAUCCAACUGAGAAUUGUAACAAUUACAUGAGCACAUGAUGACUAUAGCUUAGAUUUUUAAUAACAAUCAGCAGAACUUGUUGAGAAAAAAAAAAGAGCCAGAAUACUAACUUCUAUUUCUGGUUAUUGUGUCAUACAUUUCAGUAAUAAUUACUAAAUAAGUAAGGACAGAAGAAAGGAAGAUGAUAAGCAAUAGAUCAUUAUUGUCAAGCUUCCCGUCAAUAUAUAAUUCCAAAAUUAGUAAAAAUGGGGACAAAAAAUGUAUAAUGGGGAAAGUAAGGACAAAACAAACAUGGACUUUUUAGUGCAGAGAAUUAAAGGUGUCUAUCUAUAAAAGGAUGUAAGGCAGUCUAACAAACAAUUCACAAACAAUGUAUUCUCCGGCAGUGUCGUAAGUGUAAAUGAAUGCAUAGCAGAACUUGUGCAACAAAUAUAAAAAAUUGUUAUUGUUCUUCAGAAGACCCUAACCAACAGUAAGCAUCACUUCUAAAAAUAGUGUGCUAAGGAAGAUUCAAACCUGGAGCUAGCACAAGCACGAUGAAAGUAC